RNAcentral lists this ribosomal RNA (447 nucleotides) under uncultured bacterium. RNAcentral describes it as "partial 16S ribosomal RNA". It matches the Rfam family "Bacterial small subunit ribosomal RNA", at positions 29 to 507 of the family's 1533-position model. The record is from RNAcentral.
AACGAACGCUAUCGGUAUGCUUAACACAUGCAAGUCGGACGGACUAAUUAGGGCUUGCUCCAAUUAUUUAGUGGCAGACGGGUGAGUAACACGUGGGUAUCUUCCCAUCAGUACGGAAUAACUUUUAGAAAUAAAAGCUAAUACCGUAUAUUCUCUACAUGGUAAAGAUUUAUCGCUGAUGGAUGAGCCCGCGUCAGAUUAGGUAGUUGGUGAGGUAACGGCUCACCAAGCCGACGAUCUGUAGCUGGUCUGAGAGGAUGAUCAGCCACACUGGGACUGAGACACGGACCAGAAUCCUACGGGAGGGAGCAGUAGGGAAUAUUGGACAAUGGGCGAAAGCCUGAUAAAGCAAUACCGAGUGAGAGAUAAAGGCGCUAGGGUUGUAAAGCUCUUUUAGCAAGGAAGAUAAUGACGUUACUUGCAGAAAAAGCACCGGCUAACUACGUG